Molecule: non-coding RNA, 20 nt
Filed under: Arabidopsis thaliana (thale cress)
Lineage: Eukaryota; Viridiplantae; Streptophyta; Magnoliopsida; Brassicales; Brassicaceae
Source: RNAcentral
GAACUUGAGUACAACGUCGC